GACGAACGCUGGCGGCGUGCCUAAUACAUGCAAGUAGAACGCUGAAGGAGGAGCUUGCUUCUCUGGAUGAGUUGCGAACGGGUGAGUAACGCGUAGGUAACCUGCCUGGUAGCGGGGGAUAACUAUUGGAAACGAUAGCUAAUACCGCAUAAUAUUGACUAUUGCAUGAUAGUCAGUUGAAAGGUGCAACUGCACCACUACCAGAUGGACCUGCGUUGUAUUAGCUAGUUGGUGGGGUAACGGCUCACCAAGGCGACGAUACAUAGCCGACCUGAGAGGGUGAUCGGCCACACUGGGACUGAGAACCGGCCCAGACUCCUACGGGAGGCAGCAGUAGGGAAUCUUCGGCAAUGGACGGAAGUCUGACCGAGCAACGCCGCGUGAGUGAAGAAGGUUUUCGGAUCGUAAAGCUCUGUUGUAAGAGAAGAACGAGUGUGAGAGUGGAAAGCUCACACUGUGACGGUAUCUUACCAGAAAGGGACGGCUAACUACGUG
This 495-nucleotide ribosomal RNA is filed under the name uncultured bacterium. Its description in RNAcentral is "partial 16S ribosomal RNA". It matches the Rfam family "Bacterial small subunit ribosomal RNA", at positions 28 to 507 of the family's 1533-position model. The record is from RNAcentral.